ACAGAACUUUUUCUAUAUCUUAACAAUUACUUUCAACUGCACCCCUAAAACGAAAAGGAACCUCAUAAAGAUGGAUUCUGAUGAUUUGGAGUACAAUGAUUGUUCAGCGUAAGCAUGUCAAGAUGUUCUGCAACUUCACAGAGCUCCUCACAGGAAUCCAUGGAUAGUCUUUGCUUGCUUUACUGUUUCUGAAUGCCAUUCUAUUAUAAACCAACACGUGAAAAUCGGAAUCAGAGAGGAUGAUGUAUUGUUUCAGUCUAAUUAUUACGAAAGUAGAAAGUUUUCAGAAGCCAUGGAUAAGUAAAGGGAAAGAAAGAGCAUGUUGAUCACCGUGGUCCAGAUCAUUUCACUUUGCAAUGCAACUCCAUUUUCCUCUAAUUGGCUUCAAGUAAUAAGUACUGAGAAAAGUAAUUUAAAAAGUAUUAGGUUAUAAAUUAAAUAUUAAAUUUUAUUUUUUGAAGAUAAGUAAUGAUUUAAAUGAAAGAAUAGUGAUUUGUACAAAUACAAAAAACAGUAGAUCUACUGUAAAAAAAGGGCGGUGCUAUAUACAGUCUUCUUUAGAGGACUGUAUUGCAGUUCUAGUGUCUAAAAUGACUAGAUUGUCCACAUUUUUAGACUUGAAAUUACUACUUUACCCCUCCUUCUGCUAAAACCAAAAGCUAUGAUAACAUUUGACUUUCUGAAAUACUCCUGCGCCCAGACCAAUCUCCAUGGAUGGAAAAACCACCUCUACCAUCAAUGGCGUCACAUACUCAAGUUCUUGUUUUCUAGGAAACGAGAAGGGAGAUCGAUUGCAAGGAUAGUAGUCAUGCUUUUGCAAAUCACUUGCUCGAGUUUCACUCAUAUGUGGAAAUAAAUGAAUACUAUGUACUAAUUAGUGAGACAUCAAGAAUUAGCAAGGGGAUUUACCAGAACCAAAUACAAACACAUUCUAUAAUUUUUAUCUGUAUCUGAAGAAGAAAGGGGAUUUAUUCUUCUCUGAGGAAGAGGACGACGACGCAGCAUACGAUGGGGAGAGUUGAUGACCAUGGCGACGGGGUGAGGGGGACCGAUUUCAUCUAGGUAUGGGGAGCGAUUUCAUCUGGGCGAGGGGAGGCAAUUUCAUCUAUGUAUGGAGCGUUUUGGUUUCAUGUAAUGAAACGCAACGUUUUAUUUAAUAAUGAAACACUGCAUUUCAUCAUGCUUGGAACGGGGAUUGCAAUAAGAAUUUCUCAAAAAAGUAUAAAACAAAUCAUAUUUUUCU
Long non-coding RNA from Carya illinoinensis, 1243 nucleotides. RefSeq lists it as uncharacterized. The transcript is spliced from 2 exons. The record is from RefSeq and is a predicted model, not a curated record. NCBI's taxonomy places the organism in Eukaryota, Viridiplantae, Streptophyta, Magnoliopsida, Fagales, Juglandaceae.